This 329-nucleotide long non-coding RNA is filed under the name Panax ginseng (ginseng). Its description in RNAcentral is "long non-coding RNA (PGIN_LNC013729)". The record is from RNAcentral. Lineage: Eukaryota; Viridiplantae; Streptophyta; Magnoliopsida; Apiales; Araliaceae.
UUUAAAUACAAAUAUUGUCUUCUAGACAAUAUCCACACGCAAAUAAGUCCUCAUUACAAUUAUUCAAAUACUAUUUUAUAGAAAUAGAGAGGACUGCUAAAACAUCUUCCUAGAACCAUCACUCCAUACCCCGACUCGAUCCUGCUAUGUUCUCACCUCCUGAGAAGAAAAAUGGAACAAAAAGGAAAGGGUGAGCUCAACUAGCCCAGUAAAGAAUAUUAUGACUAAGAUAAUAUACAACAAAUUAUCGUUAGUCUUCAACAGGGAAAAAUCUGAUAAAAUAUAAUAGACAACAAGUUUUAGAUCAACAAGUGCAGCGGAACAGCAAU